Molecule: small RNA, 5376 nt
Filed under: Pongo abelii (Sumatran orangutan)
Lineage: Eukaryota; Metazoa; Chordata; Mammalia; Primates; Hominidae
Description: retained intron
Source: RNAcentral
AUUCUCCCGGUACAGGAGUUUUGGUUAAAUUCAUCACUGUUUUGGUUAAAUUCAGAGUUUACGUCAUGACGUGUAAAUAUGGCUGACAGUUAAGCCACAGAGUGUACAGUGAUUAUUUUCUUUCUUCUGUAACUUUAAGUUUGCCAGAGUUAGGGAUUGCCUCAUUGUUUUGUUCACUUGGUUUUCUAAAUAUAUGUUCCUACUUCAGCCCCACGUUCUCAGUGGUCUCAUAGUGGUGUGUUCAGACACAUCAGAGGUUCUGUUUCAUCUUUGUCUUGGAGACAUGCCCCCGCGUCUUGUUUCUGUUAGUCUGAGGUUAGACCUCCAGGACUGACCUCCUAAUUUUUUCCUCUUAGUGUCUCUGGCUUUAUCCUUUUGUUCUACUUUCUCAGAAGUUUUAUUUUUCACCUUUAUCUUUUCAACCCUUCUAUCGAAAUUUUCAUUUCUGCUUCGUCUUUCUAACUUCCAGGAGCCUUUUCUUGCUCUCCGAAUGCCCUGCUUUCCACAGCGUGCUGAUCUUGUUUCCUAGGAGGCCGUAUCUGCUCUCAUCUGCCUGAUGAUACUGUUUGUUUUCUUUCUUCUCCCUUCAUUAUCUGACUCCUCCCCUUUUCCUCUCUUUGUUUUGGUUUUGCUCUCAUGUUAAAGAGGCUUUUCACAUGUAAUCUGAUGAUGCUUGGCUGUCUGUUGAAAGAAUGAGACUCUGAAAGCUAUUUGUGCAUGGAUGGUCCUUGUUGUCCACUGGGCUGCAUUGUGGGUGAUAAGGCAGACUUUUUCAGUGGGACCCCCAACUAUCAGAAUCUGUAAGCCAUUUUGGGGGAAGCAGGUGGUGUUCCUGAAGAGGAAUCCUCUACUCUCCUCCUGCCCGAUGGGUCUAGGCCUGGCUUGGCUGCCUUUGGGGAUCUGGAAGGGGAAAGGAGCUGGGGUUGCUCAUCACUUAGUGUGAUGUUCACUUCUCCCCCCGUUUUCAGAAUCGCAGCUCAGCCCUGUCCUCUACCGUGCAAACCACUGCAGGAAGGUGGCCCUUUCUUCUGCCUGCAUGGGGACAGAGAUGGAUUUGGGGAUCUUCCCAGUGCUUCCGCCCACUGGUUUCAGCUUUCCCCCUCUCCUUGGUUAACGCUCACCUGUGACCUUUCCACCCUCAAAUUUUUGACUUUUUUUUUUCUGGUCUGCUGACCUCACUUCUCCCAUUCUUUUUCCCCUUAUGGGUUUAUACUUUUUUUUUUUUUAUUCCUCUGCAGUCAUCGUAGUGGGGUUUUAGGAGCUUUUGAUUAAAACACGUUUCAGCUGCCACAUCGAGGGUUUAUUUUUGAGUGGCUUCCUGGGCUGUGGAAAAUGUGUUAUCAUUGUUAGUACUUACUGAGCAUCCUGGCCUAUCAUGGUCAUAGCCAAAGAGCAGACUUACUGGGAAAUUCAACUCCCUGUCUUCCCCCAUCUAGUUCAUUGGUGGUGAGAAUCCUCCUCUCUUCCCAGCCAUGACUGCCCCAUCUCCCCUCGCCAGAGCCUGUCCAGCAGGUCAACUUUAAAAAUGUAGUGCUAGGCAGGCCUCCUAGGCUGAAAGCAUGUUUUGUUCCAGCAGAACAAAGAUACUUAUGAGCCUUUCUGCAAGGUCCCUGUGAUCACCUCAUCCAAGGAAGAACAAAAACUUAUAGCGACUUCAAAUAAGGUAUGUUGGAGGCACCCUUGUGGAAUUUCUUUUGCUACCAGAAAUGAUGAAGGUUCUUCUGAAUAACUUUUGAAAUAAAAACAUGUAUAAUUGCCUGAGUGAGGCCUGAGAAUGGGUUCACAGUGGGAAGCUACAGGUCAUCUUUUGUGCCCCUGCUAUUGGGUCAUGCAGUCCCCCUCUCCAGCCAGCAAGCUAUGCUUGUCUGCCUCUUCUGCUUCAGGGCAGGGCCCCAGCCCUAUGGGAAGCCAGCAGUUCAUUGCAUCUGCCUGCCAAGUAACUCUCUUCUUCUUUUAAAACAACCCACAGCCAGCCGUGAAGUUGCUCUACAACAGAAGUAACAACAAAUACUCAUAUACCAGGUAAGGCAUCAGCCAGGAAAGACAGCUCCAUUUACUAGGAAAACCUCCACUCACACCAGCCAGGCCCAGCUCUUCUUCGUACCUUCAGAUGAGGAUGACCUCUCUGUACCUCUCUGCCUGGAUAGAUAAGUAGACAGAUGGAUACAGGGAUAUAACUCUGAGCUAUAAUUCACACAUAUCAUAAAAGUCAUCUUUCUAGAGUGUACAGUUAUUAUUAUAUUCACAAUAUGUGGUUUUUAUAUAUUCACAAGUUGUGAGGCCAUCACCACUAUCUAAUUUUAGAACUUUUUCACUGCCUGAAAAGAAACCCUCUAUUCGUUAGCAGUCACUCCCCAUUUUCCCUCAACCAUUGCUUCCCCAACCCCACAGCCCUAGGUAACCACUAAUCUGUUUUCUGUCUUGAUGAAUUUGCCUGUUCUGGACAUCUUUAUAUGAAUGGAAUUGCAUAAUAUAUGGCCUUUUGUGACCAGAUUCCUUCACUCAGCAUAAUGAGAUUACCUAAGAGGUUUUCAAGGUUUAUCCAUGUUGUAGCAUGAAUGAAUACUUCAUUCCUUUUUAUGGCAGAAUAAUAUUCCACAGUGUAGACCACAUUUUCUUUACCCAUUCAUCAGUUGAUGGACAUUUGGGUUGUUUGCACUUUUUGGCUAUUGUGUGUAAUGCUGUUAUGAACAUUCAUUUAAAGUCUCUGUGUGGACUUAUGUUUUCAUUUCUCUAGGAGCAGAAUUGCUGGGUCAUGUGGUAAUUCUAGGUUUAAUCAUUCGAAGACCUGCCAAACUGUUUUCUAAAGUGGCUGCACCAUUUUACAUUCCCACCAGCAAUAUAUGCAGGUUUCUAGAAUGCCAUUUGGCCUUUGAAAACAUGUGGCUCUAACUCAGGAACUUGAGGGAUGCAGGGAGGAUUUAAUGAGGUUACUCAAGAUCUUUAAAAAGACCUAAGAUAUAGAGUCUCCCUUGGGCAGUGCCAUUCUGCUCCUCUUGGGGCUCGGUGAGGCGCUCUCCUCCACCUGGUGCCUGUGCCCAGAGGCUGUCACUCAAGCACGACGGUUAGGAGCACUCAGGCUUAGGGGCCAGGGCUGUCUUUUGGGGGGCGUGUCUGCCAUUUAUUAGGUUCAGCCUUGAGUAAUUACCUAAUUUCUCUGAUCCUCACUUUCCUUCUUGAGUGAUGGAGAUUGGAGUGCCUUUGUCAUGGGAUUAUUGUGAGGUUGAAAUGAGGUAGUGGAGAAAGUGGGCUCAGUAGGGCCCUGCGUGUAGAAGGGCCUAGCAAAUGAUGGCAGUUUUACCAGCUUGUGGUCACCGUAUCAAAUGCUCUUUUGCAGCAAUUCUGACGACAAUAUGUUGAAAAACAUUGAACUGUUUGAUAAGCUGUCUCUGCGCUUUAACGGAAGGGUCCUGUUCAUAAAGGAUGUCAUUGGGGAUGAAAUCUGCUGCUGGUCCUUUUAUGGUCAGGGCCGGAAGAUUGCUGAAGUCUGUUGUACCUCCAUCGUCUACGCCACUGAGAAGAAACAGACCAAGGUGGAGUUUCCUGAAGCCCGGAUUUAUGAGGAGACCCUGAACAUUUUGCUGUAUGAGGCCCAGGAUGGCCGGGGACCUGACAAUGCGCUCCUGGAGGCCACAGGCGGGGCGGCAGGGCGCUCUCACCACCUGGAUGAGGACGAGGAGCGGGAGCGGGAGCGGAUCGAGCGCGUGCGGCGGAUCCACAUCAAGCGCCCCGACGACCGGGCCCACCUCCACCAGUGAGCAGGCAAGAGACCGAGCCGCCCUCCUCUCACCGCCCCCACUCCCUGCCGUGCUACACCCAGAUCCUGUGCAGGCUGCCGGGCCCCUUCUGCUUCCCUUGGAGCCUGGAGAUACUUUUGUAACAAGCCAGAUGAUUAUUUUGGUAUUGCUUGACAAGGCAAAUUGAUUGUCUUGACCCAGGCGUAUGACCCCUGUUGUUGAACAAGCUGUGUCUAAGAUCUCUACUUUUCAUGAGAAUCUGAGACUCUUUGGAGCCAGGCUUUCUCGGUUCUCAGAGGAAAAGUAUGAAUGAGUGUGAAGUGUAUGUGAGAACUUUUGUUUGCCGUAUUUAUUUUUGUGGGUGUCGACUUCCUAUAUGGACUUUUUGGGUGACACUCCCUUAACGGUUCAGUUUGACAAUUCUGAGAGUUGUUCUGCAGUUGGAGGCCACCAGAGGUAUCUGAGCUCCCUGCUUCCUAUUUCAUAAUCCUCCAGCCCCAGCAGGUCCACUCCUGGUUCCUGUGUGUUUGGCCCAGGCACAAUCCCCACCGCUUUGCUAGAAGUGCUUUCUGCCAUGUGGCUUUGGGCCUAGAGCUUGUUGAUAAUUGCAGCUUGUGGCAGUGGAAAUGUGGCUGAAUGAGCGUCUAAAUCGUUGAGACCAGUGCAACUUUGGGUGCAAGGCUUUGUUUAGGGAGCAAGCCUUUUGCCACCUUGGGCUGGUCUUUGGCCUGGUGCUCACUGGGACCCCACAUGUCUGCGUAGGAGCAGCUUUCCAUGGCAGUAAGUGUCCAGCUCUGUUUCUGGUUCUUUCCCUGACUCCAGCCCCUUCCAGUUGUUCUCCUGGUUGACCCGACUCCACUCCAGGAAGGCCAUCUGACCCUGUGACAGGCAUAGCUCAUAAACUACCCCUCCCUGGGAUCCCACUCCUCUUCAGCCUCCUUCCCCAUAAAGCUGGGCUUUCUAAGUCAGUUUGCUUAGAAAUUCAGUGUGGCCCAUACCCUUUGUCCUCCCAGCCUGGUAUCCAGGCAGGGACACCCUCACACCACCAGCCCCAGGGAGCUUCCCUGCUGUAAACAGACCCCCUUCUCUUUGCCUCUGAUUGAUUUUUACACAGUGUAGAGUGGCCAGCAGUGAACAGGUUGAGGAUGUGUGGGUAGAUAGAUACCUUUGGGUCUGGUUUGUGUCUGUGUUCAUGUUUGUUUAAGGGAUGUGUGCGACUGUGGGUGGGGACGUGUGCUUGUGGGGCACAGGUGGCCCCUGCUGGAGCCCGGCUGGGCGCAGUGCCCAUGUAGGACGGGUGUUCUCAGUGACCUACCUCCCAGGCUCCUCUGCGCCUGCAAAGGAACAGCAGUGAGUCGUGACUGACAGGGGUGGUUGAAACUAGACUAGGUAGAGUAGUUACCAGGAGAUGUGAAUGUGUGUCAGGUGAUGGAUGGGUUUGUCAAGGGAAUCGUUACUGUUUUAUACCAAAGGUGUUAACAUGGGCAGCCUUUGAUACAUGUAUUCCAAAAAGCGAGUUUAUAUUUUCAAAUGGUUUUUACAGCUUAGACUUUGUACGUACUGCCCUGCCUGUGACAGUUGUAUGCCUUCAUUUUGUAUCCAACAGCAAAGUCUACAAUAAAACUUUAAAACAAUCAUG